Molecule: ribosomal RNA, 257 nt
Filed under: uncultured bacterium
Lineage: Bacteria
Description: partial 16S ribosomal RNA
Rfam family: Bacterial small subunit ribosomal RNA
Source: RNAcentral
CAGAGGGUGCGAGCGUUAAUCGGAAUUACUGGGCGUAAAGCGAGUGUAGGUGGCUCAUUAAGUCACAUGUGAAAUCCCCGGGCUUAACCUGGGAACUGCAUGUGAUACUGGUGGUGCUAGAAUAUGUGAGAGGGAAGUAGAAUUCCAGGUGUAGCGGUGAAAUGCGUAGAGAUCUGGAGGAAUACCGAUGGCGAAAGGCAGCUUUCCUGGCAUAAUAUUGACACUGAGAUUCGAAGACGUGGGUAGCAAACAGGAUU